UACGUAGGGUGCAAGCGUUAAUCGGAAUUACUGGGCGUAAAGCGUGCGCAGGCGGUCUUGCAAGACAGAUGUGAAAUCCCCGGGCUCAACCUGGGAACUGCAUUUGUGACUGCAAGGCUGGAGUACGGUAGAGGGGGAUGGAAUUCCGCGUGUAGCAGUGAAAUGCGUAGAGAUGUGGAGGAAUACCGAUGGCGAAGGCAGCCCCCUGGGAUAACACUGACGCUCAUGCACGAAAGCGUGGGGAGCAAACAGG
Molecule: ribosomal RNA, 253 nt
Filed under: uncultured bacterium
Lineage: Bacteria
Description: partial 16S ribosomal RNA
Rfam family: Bacterial small subunit ribosomal RNA
Source: RNAcentral